AUUGCCCUAGUAACGGCGAGUGAAGCGGCAACAGCUCAAAUUUGAAAUCUGGCGCAAGCCCGAGUUGUAAUUUGUAGAGGAUGCUUCUGGGUAGCGACCGAUCUAAGUUCCUUGGAACAGGACGUCAUAGAGGGUGAGAAUCCCGUAUGUGACCGGCCCGCACCCUUUACGUAGCUCCUUCGACGAGUCGAGUUGUUUGGGAAUGCAGCUCUAAAUGGGAGGUAAAUUUCUUCUAAAGCUAAAUACCGGCCAGAGACCGAUAGCGCACAAGUAGAGUGAUCGAAAGAUGAAAAGUACUUUGGAAAGAGAGUUAAAAAGCACGUGAAAUUGUUGAAAGGGAAGCGCCUGCAACCAGACUUCGCGGCAGUGUUCCGCCGGUCUUCUGACCGGUUCAUUCUCUGUCGCGAGGCCAUCAUCGUCUGGGCCCGCCGGAUAAGACCUUAGGAAUGUAGCUCACCUUCGGGGGAGUGUUAUAGCCUAGGGUGAUGCGGCGAGGCUCGGGCGAGGUCCGCGCUUCGGCAAGGAUGAUGGCGUAAUGGUUGUCGGCGGCCCGUCUUGAAACACGGACCAAGGAGUCUAACAUCUAUGCGAGUGUUCGGGUGUCAAACCCCUACGCGUAAUGAAAGUGAACGGAGGUGGGAACCGCAAGGUGCACCAUCGACCGAUCCUGAUGUCCUCGGAUGGAUUUGAGUAAGAGCAUAGCUGUUGGGACCCGAAAGAUGGUGAACUAUGCCUGAAUAGGGUGAAGCCAGAGGAAACUCUGGUGGAGGCUCGCAGCGGUUCUGACGUGCAAAUCGAUCGUCAAAUUUGGGUAUAGGGGCGAAAGACUAAUCG
RNAcentral lists this ribosomal RNA (834 nucleotides) under Septoria sp. RNAcentral describes it as "partial large subunit ribosomal RNA". It matches the Rfam family "Eukaryotic large subunit ribosomal RNA", at positions 74 to 937 of the family's 3401-position model. Lineage: Eukaryota; Fungi; Ascomycota; Dothideomycetes; Mycosphaerellales; Mycosphaerellaceae. The record is from RNAcentral.